This 107-nucleotide small nuclear RNA is filed under the name Canis lupus familiaris (dog). RNAcentral also lists the same sequence under 1 other name. Lineage: Eukaryota; Metazoa; Chordata; Mammalia; Carnivora; Canidae. The record is from RNAcentral.
AUGCUUGCUUCUGCAGCACAUAUACUAAAACUGGAAUGAUACAGAGAAGAUUAGCAUAGCCCCUGUGCAAGGAUGACAUGCAAAUUCAUGAAGCAUUCCAUAUUUUU